Molecule: long non-coding RNA, 443 nt
Organism: Dicentrarchus labrax (European seabass)
Lineage: Eukaryota; Metazoa; Chordata; Actinopteri; Moronidae
Exons: 3
Source: RefSeq, a predicted model, not a curated record
GGCGCUUCAAGGCAGCGAAGCCUAGCCGCACCAGUAUACCUGGUGUGGAGAACAUGAGACGCUGCCUGGUCGGACAGACCUCUGGACCUGCCAGCAGUCCCAGUGCAAGCCGGCUGGUAGAGGCAGUGUGCAUCCAGCUCUGCCGCGUGUGCCCCUCAGGCACCCGUGUGAGCGGUGCCCGGCGGUCGCGGUGGGACAGCAUAACUGCUUCGGUACCAGCACAUCCGGGACCUUGUGCUGGGCCACCAGAGGCUGAUGGCUCGGGCGCCCAUCCAGCUCUAUGAGCUGAAUAGCAGGACCCUCUCGCUGUGGUUCACCAGGACGCAGCGGGAGAAGGAGAUGGCUGUGCUAGCUCCAGGCGUUGCAGCAGAGGGACGACCACCAGCGGUAGCGGGCUCGGCGGCGGCAGCGGUGGCGCCAGCGACAGCAACAGCGGCAGCGCC